This is a non-coding RNA of Tauraco erythrolophus (red-crested turaco), 72 nucleotides long. The record is from Rfam. Lineage: Eukaryota; Metazoa; Chordata; Aves; Musophagiformes; Musophagidae.
UCCCUGGUGGUCUAGUGGUCAGGAUUCAGCACUCUCACUGCUGCGGCCUGGGUUCGAUUCCCAGCCAGGGAA